AUUCUCUUUUUCCUCUUUCUCUUUAUCCGAUUUCAAUCAAAUAGACUCAUGAUAUUGAUCAUCAACCAUUGGAUCACGACUUGGUUCACCUUGGAGAUUAUCCUCAUUUCUCCUCUUUCUGUUGAUCCUCUUUUACAUCAUGGUAUAAGAGCUAUUGACUAUUUAUAUGGUCUAAGUUAAGAUAAUUGAGGAGAAAAAUUAAGAAAGCUAGUAGGAGUAACAGUGGUUGUGGUGAUAGAUAAUGAAUUGCCCAAGAAAUUGAGUCAUAAUCAUCAAUUGUAUCUGAAUGCAUUAGAUCUGUCUGGAGUUAUGUUGAUUUUUAUUCAAUUAGAAAGAUCUAAAAACUAUUAUGUGGAUUGAAUCGAUGAGAAUAGCCAUACUUGGAAGGAACAAGUUGGGAUUCAUCAUGGCACGUGUAGGAAAGAAAGCUUCGACCCACAGAUCUCUCAUUUCUCAAAGAUGUGUUGCCUGAAUGUUUAUGCUAUGAAUUCGAAUGAGCGGUUAAAUUCACUUGCAACUUGUGGUCGACCUUUGAAUGACACGCUAAAAUACUUCCGGUGGUAAAAAACCAACAUCUAUUACUUUGCACACUCUUUAUCGGCAAAUCCUUAGCAAUGGAGUCUCUUCCUAUAUUCUUGGACAAGCUUGUACCGUCGUGGGAAGUAGUAAUGGUAUCUGUUAAAAUGAUUCGCAUGUUCAAAUAGAUAAUUCCUUGAUCAAUCUAUACUAGCUAUGGAUUGACUUUUAGAUCCACUGUAGCACCCCUUGUUCAGCUUCUUCAAUGGUUAUUCUUCCCCAUUGCUUAUCCAAUUAGUAAGCUUGGAAAGAAAUGGAAAGAAUGCAACAUAAAGUUGAAUGGAGGAGUUCCUUGGUUAUGUUCUCCCUCCGUUUUCAUUUACUUGUCACAUUUUGAUGUGGCACAACUAUUAAGAAAACAAUGAUUGGU
Long non-coding RNA from Capsicum annuum, 946 nucleotides. RefSeq lists it as uncharacterized. Lineage: Eukaryota; Viridiplantae; Streptophyta; Magnoliopsida; Solanales; Solanaceae. The transcript is spliced from 5 exons. The record is from RefSeq and is a predicted model, not a curated record.